RNAcentral lists this ribosomal RNA (401 nucleotides) under uncultured eukaryote. Its description in RNAcentral is "SSU rRNA". It matches the Rfam family "Eukaryotic small subunit ribosomal RNA", at positions 592 to 999 of the family's 1831-position model. The record is from RNAcentral.
CAGUAGCGUAUAUUAAAGCUGUUGCAGUUAAAAGCUCGUAGUUGGAUCUUGGGCCCAGGCCUGCGGUCCGCCGUGAGGCGUGUACUGCAGUCCUGGCCUUCCUCUCGGUUUUCGCCCGUGCCCUUAAUUGAGUGCCAGGAGAGGCCGGAACGUUUACUUUGAAAAAUUGGAGUGUUCAAAGCAGGCCUCGCGCCUGAACAGCAGAGCAUGGAAUAAUGGAAUAGGACCUCGGUUCUAUUGCGUUGGUUUUCGGAACUCGAGGUAAUGAUUAAGAGGGACUGACGGGGCAUGCGUAUGCGGUGUGAGAGGUGAAUCGUUGGAAUUCGUGCCGCCAGAACGACCGACUGCGAAAGCAUUUGCCAAGAAUGUUUUCAUUAAUCAAGAACGAAAGUUAGGGGAUC